This 428-nucleotide ribosomal RNA is filed under the name uncultured Bacillota bacterium. Its description in RNAcentral is "bacterial SSU rRNA". It matches the Rfam family "Bacterial small subunit ribosomal RNA", at positions 958 to 1385 of the family's 1533-position model. The record is from RNAcentral. Lineage: Bacteria; Bacillati; Bacillota.
AACGCGAAGAACCUUACCAGGUCUUGACAUCCUCUGACAAUCCUAGAGAUAGGACGUUCCCCUUCGGGGGACAGAGUGACAGGUGGUGCAUGGUUGUCGUCAGCUCGUGUCGUGAGAUGUUGGGUUAAGUCCCGCAACGAGCGCAACCCUUGAUCUUAGUUGCCAGCAUUCAGUUGGGCACUCUAAGGUGACUGCCGGUGACAAACCGGAGGAAGGUGGGGAUGACGUCAAAUCAUCAUGCCCCUUAUGACCUGGGCUACACACGUGCUACAAUGGAUGGUACAAAGGGUUGCAAAACCGCGAGGUCGAGCCAAUCCCAUAAAACCAUUCUCAGUUCGGAUUGUAGGCUGCAACUCGCCUACAUGAAGCUGGAAUCGCUAGUAAUCGUGGAUCAGCAUGCCACGGUGAAUACGUUCCCGGGCCUUGUA